This 1372-nucleotide ribosomal RNA is filed under the name uncultured bacterium. Its description in RNAcentral is "bacterial SSU rRNA". It matches the Rfam family "Bacterial small subunit ribosomal RNA", at positions 28 to 1381 of the family's 1533-position model. The record is from RNAcentral.
GAUGAACGCUGGCGGCGUGCCUAAUACAUGCAAGUCGAGCGAACGGACGAGAAGCUUGCUUCUCUGAUGUUAGCGGCGGACGGGUGAGUAACACGUGGAUAACCUACCUAUAAGACUGGGAUAACUUCGGGAAACCGGAGCUAAUACCGGAUAAUAUUUUGAACCGCAUGGUUCAAAAGUGAAAGACGGUCUUGCUGUCACUUAUAGAUGGAUCCGCGCUGCAUUAGCUAGUUGGUAAGGUAACGGCUUACCAAGGCAACGAUGCAUAGCCGACCUGAGAGGGUGAUCGGCCACACUGGAACUGAGACACGGUCCAGACUCCUACGGGAGGCAGCAGUAGGGAAUCUUCCGCAAUGGGCGAAAGCCUGACGGAGCAACGCCGCGUGAGUGAUGAAGGUCUUCGGAUCGUAAAACUCUGUUAUUAGGGAAGAACAUAUGUGUAAGUAACUGUGCACAUCUUGACGGUACCUAAUCAGAAAGCCACGGCUAACUACGUGCCAGCAGCCGCGGUAAUACGUAGGUGGCAAGCGUUAUCCGGAAUUAUUGGGCGUAAAGCGCGCGUAGGCGGUUUUUUAAGUCUGAUGUGAAAGCCCACGGCUCAACCGUGGAGGGUCAUUGGAAACUGGAAAACUUGAGUGCAGAAGAGGAAAGUGGAAUUCCAUGUGUAGCGGUGAAAUGCGCAGAGAUAUGGAGGAACACCAGUGGCGAAGGCGACUUUCUGGUCUGUAACUGACGCUGAUGUGCGAAAGCGUGGGGAUCAAACAGGAUUAGAUACCCUGGUAGUCCACGCCGUAAACGAUGAGUGCUAAGUGUUAGGGGGUUUCCGCCCCUUAGUGCUGCAGCUAACGCAUUAAGCACUCCGCCUGGGGAGUACGACCGCAAGGUUGAAACUCAAAGGAAUUGACGGGGACCCGCACAAGCGGUGGAGCAUGUGGUUUAAUUCGAAGCAACGCGAAGAACCUUACCAAAUCUUGACAUCCUUUGACAACUCUAGAGAUAGAGCCUUCCCCUUCGGGGGACAAAGUGACAGGUGGUGCAUGGUUGUCGUCAGCUAGUGUCGUGAGAUGUUGGGUUAAGUCCCGCAACGAGCGCAACCCUUAAGCUUAGUUGCCAUCAUUAAGUUGGGCACUCUAAGUUGACUGCCGGUGACAAACCGGAGGAAGGUGGGGAUGACGUCAAAUCAUCAUGCCCCUUAUGAUUUGGGCUACACACGUGCUACAAUGGACAAUACAAAGGGCAGCGAAACCGCGAGGUCAAGCAAAUCCCAUAAAGUUGUUCUCAGUUCGGAUUGUAGUCUGCAACUCGACUACAUGAAGCUGGAAUCGCUAGUAAUCGUAGAUCAGCAUGCUACGGUGAAUACGUUCCCGGGUCU